AUUGAACGCUGGCGGCAGGCCUAACACAUGCAAGUCGAACGAGUGGCGGACGGGUGAGUAAUGUCUGGGAAACUGCCUGAUGGAGGGGGAUAACUACUGGAAACGGUAGCUACUACCGCAUACCAUCGGAUGUGCCCAGAUGGGAUUAGCUAGUAGGUGGGGUAACGGCUCACCUAGGCGACGAUCCCUAGCUGGUCUGAGAGGAUGACCAGCAACAAUGGAACUGAGACACGGUCCAGAAGCCGACGGGAGGCAGCAGUGGGGAAUAUUGCAGAAUGGGCGCAAGCCUGAUGCAGCCAUGCCGCGUGUAUGAAGAAGGCAGUCGGGGUGUAAAGUACUUUCAGCGGGGAGGCGUUACCCGCAGAAGAAGCACCGGCUAACUCCGUGCCAGCAGCCGCGGUAAUAC
This 406-nucleotide ribosomal RNA is filed under the name uncultured bacterium. RNAcentral describes it as "partial 16S ribosomal RNA". It matches the Rfam family "Bacterial small subunit ribosomal RNA", at positions 29 to 526 of the family's 1533-position model. The record is from RNAcentral.